GCGCCGUCAUCCCAAUCAUCACCAUCCACGGCGUCAUCGCCCAGGCCCAGUCACAGGCCGGCAAGACCUCCAUGAUCUCCCUCUUCGUCUGCCAGGUCAUUGAGACCAACAUCCACGAGUGAUUUCCGCAUAGCUUUUGUGUAUGACGGCUGGAGGACCAACUCAGACCUCGCUUGCCUCAGGGUCAGGAGGUCCAAGGCGCCACAAGACCGGGCCAGGAGUUUGCGUAAACCUGGGCCAGGAGUUUAUUUGAUAAAGGUUUCCAGAAUGAUUGGCCACACCUACCUAAAAAGUUCGGAAUUUAACCAUGAGCCCCUUCUGGCCUGGUUCCAUAUUCCAAGGCCCUUCCAUAAUCCAAUUCUUUGUCCCGAACCAUCCAUUGAAGAACAUAGACUGUGCAGAAUAUCAGUUUGUUAUAUUUGCAUCAGAUGAACUAUGGGAGCACUUGAACAAUCAGGAAGCCGUGGAUAUAGUUCAUUGUUACCUCGGAAUGUAAGAUGAUUUGCCAUACUUCCUCAUAUAUUAUGCUUUCCAAGUGUACUAAAAUAUGCUUCCCAUUUUAGUCUUGCCUUAUAUUGUUGAUAUGUAACCCAAAUAGGUUAAACCGAAUGUUGUAUCGAAACAUGUAGUAUUUACUUGUAAAAGAGCAACUGAGAGCCUGGUGGGUCGGGAUGAAGGAAGAAUACCCCUGAGAGCCCAAACUCGAGUUCGAAAAUAUAUGCAGAAUAUAUGUUUGCCUCUGCUAUAUACAUAUGUAAUUUUCCAGUCUAUGUUUUCUGCUCCUCUUUGGCGCAAUGUGGAAGAUGUUGGUUUUAAAGGCUAGUAGGGAAGCCAGUGGUGGAGUAAUCAGUGGUUUAUGAGGUCAUGGAGCCCAAGACCGGAUGCAGCAGAAGAAGCAGCGUCGUUGCCGUGCACUAAGAUGGUCAACAGAGUCUGUGAGGCGGAAGAUCCAUAGCAUACAGCGGAUGCGUUGGAUAUGCCAUUCCUCAAUGUGUACCUGGAUUCUCUUUGGGCAUCUAAUUUUUGGGCAGGUGUUAUUCUAGCAGCCCGCUUCGCUUUGGUCUUCAGAUUAAGCAAUUCUCUGCAUUCAAGGGAAAGGUCAAUAGCUGCUCUCCAAAGCCAACGCCGGUCUGUAUUCAUCUGCUGAAUCAGGUUGGCCACGACGAGGAGACGAACACGACCGCGUCGUCCCAUCGACCUCCGGGGCCUUUGAUAUCUCAGGUUAGCUCGAAAUGUUAUGUUUCUUCUUAGGUUAUAAUAUAUUAAUAUUUGCCGAUUCUUCACUAGAUUCCUCGGUUCUUGCAGGGUGUGUGUCAUGUUAUGUUGGGUUUCCUAUGAUUUCGGUGCGGGUAGCUACAUAGCGUCCGUGGGCCAUGCGUGUGAUGCAUGCUAGGUAAUCUUGACUCCGGUGCGACGGUGCUGGAACCGCCUCCGCUGGUUACGACUGCCGUGGCUAUGCUUGAAGGCAGAAUCACCACGAUGACUGUAGUUGCCGCACUCAGAUCGGAACGGCAGCCACGGUAUAUGAUCAAGCCUUUACUGUCGUCCUCUGAAUUUGGGAUCACGUGCAUCUGCAAGAGAAAGAGCAUGAGAGCCUAAGAGGGUAGUACCACGUUACAAACAAGUUGAUUUUUAUCCAUGGAAUUGAUCUGAUGCGAAGCUGAUGCCACAUAAAAGGACCAAGGAAUGAACACGAAGCAAAUUAUAACUCUCAGGUUCAUGGUUUAGGAGCAGGAAAGAACACUUCCAAUUGUGUAGAUGGGUCAUCAGUAGCAUUUCUCUAAUUAUUCUUAUAGAGACUGAUUUGGAUUGUUGAAGGAAAGGAUCUCAAUUCUCAAUAGCAAACUGCACUGGGACAUCUUGGACCUAUUCUCCACAUUUCUGAGCUAGAUAUGUUGGUGAGCGGGCAGGCGGUGCUAGACAUGGCAGGGCAAGAGAGCACGAGGGAGAAUGUCGAAGGGGGCAACAUAAAUGAGAGUUCACCGUUAUGCUCAUGUGGUCAGAACCUAGAGCAUGGAUACAAGACCUCCAUCAUCGUCUAUGGACAUCAGAGCAGAGGAGAAGUGAUGAUGGACAUCAGACCAGUGAAGACAGUGAGCAUGGGCUCCUAGAC
This is a non-coding RNA of Aegilops tauschii subsp. strangulata, 2113 nucleotides long. The record is from RefSeq and is a predicted model, not a curated record. NCBI's taxonomy places the organism in Eukaryota, Viridiplantae, Streptophyta, Magnoliopsida, Poales, Poaceae.